UCUCACCUCCGUCCUUGGAAAGGUGUUGGAACAUUCAGAAUGAUUUUUAUUUCUUGUCCUCAGUCUUGCAAAGGUUUGACAAUCAGACUGGAGAUGCAGGUAAGACUGGGUACUAUCAUAGUAUUUUAGGGUUUAAUUUUAAAUGAACAGUGCAAUUUGAGUUUGUUCUUAUAGGUAGUUAUUGCUAAAAGCUACCUGAACUUUCUGAUCACACUUACUUCAAUAGUAUGUUCACUGAAAGCAAAGUAAUUAGGAAUAAUAGGUUUUUAUAGACAAGAGCAUUGCAGAUGAGAAAUCAGACUGGUAAGUUUGAUGGAAUUAGUAGAGAUGGCCAAAAAACAGAGAUGAGUGUAAACCUUAUUUGACACUCCAUGUCUUCACUUCAGGCAUGCCAUUUACGUAGAGCAGUGGAACACACAAUGAGUAUACUCUCCUCCACCUCCCAAGCUAUCCCUUCCCAUCAUCUCUGAGUUACAAGCUGUACUUCCUGUCCUGAGAACAGCAGAUGAACAAACAACAAAAUGUACUGGUUACACCACUUUGCCUCAUUCCCAUACAGGCCUGGAACUUUUAGAAAUACGGUUAACAUUCAAGCUAGUAUUUAGGCUUUUAAUUUCCCACAGAAAUGAGUGAGAAAGUAAGAGCUUAAGUAAGUGGCUGAACCACUGAUACACAACUGUAUAUGGUGCUUUUGUUCAUAACCUCUAUCUUCCAUAUAUUCCACAUCAAGUGUAGUAAAAGGGAAAAAUCCUUCCAAAGUAUUACCUUUACAGCCACAAUUUCAGUAUGCUACUUGCUGCCUCAGUGGGACAGGUCACCAAUGCAAGAAAGGAUUGGAUAAUCCUUCAUUCCCUGUAAAUUUGUCUUCAAGAACAAAGAGUAAAUCUUGGAAAGACUCACUCAAAGCUGAAUGCUUCUCAUCCUGAGCAUCCUUGGAUAUAUCAGAAAUCUUCCCAGAUAACCAGAUCCAAUCAUGGCAAAAAGAUACUUAAAUCCUUACAAGAACAUGUACUAAGUUUUAGCAAACUUCUCUCCCUCCUCAAAAUAAAAACCAAUACAAGUUAUAGACAAACAAA
Oxyura jamaicensis (ruddy duck) is the source of this 1076-nucleotide long non-coding RNA. RefSeq lists it as uncharacterized. The transcript is spliced from 2 exons. The record is from RefSeq and is a predicted model, not a curated record. NCBI's taxonomy places the organism in Eukaryota, Metazoa, Chordata, Aves, Anseriformes, Anatidae.